AGCGGGAAGCUCGUUCCAAGAUGAGGUCUCCCACCCAUUUGAUGGGUUAAGGCUCCCAGCUAGACGACUGGGUUGAUAGGCCAGAGAUGGAAGCACGGUAACGUGUGGAGUUGACUGGUACUAAUAGGCCGAGGACUUGCUCAC
Molecule: ribosomal RNA, 144 nt
Organism: Kibdelosporangium aridum
Lineage: Bacteria; Bacillati; Actinomycetota; Actinomycetes; Pseudonocardiales; Pseudonocardiaceae
Rfam family: Bacterial large subunit ribosomal RNA
Source: Rfam